Molecule: microRNA precursor, 62 nt
Filed under: Pristionchus pacificus
Lineage: Eukaryota; Metazoa; Nematoda; Chromadorea; Rhabditida; Neodiplogasteridae
Description: microRNA ppc-mir-8261 precursor
Source: miRBase by way of RNAcentral
AUCUCCACACCGCGUACUGUCUAGAUGACCGUCGAGGUAGAUAGUAUGCGGCGUGAAGACCU